RNAcentral lists this transfer RNA (76 nucleotides) under Jatrophihabitantaceae bacterium. Its description in RNAcentral is "tRNA-Glu". It matches the Rfam family "tRNA". From Rfam's summary of the family: Transfer RNA (tRNA) molecules are approximately 80 nucleotides in length. Their secondary structure includes four short double-helical elements and three loops (D, anti-codon, and T loops). Further hydrogen bonds mediate the characteristic L-shaped molecular structure. tRNAs have two regions of fundamental functional importance: the anti-codon, which is responsible for specific mRNA codon recognition, and the 3' end, to which the tRNAs corresponding amino acid is attached (by aminoacyl-tRNA synthetases). tRNAs cope with the degeneracy of the genetic code in two manners: having more than one tRNA (with a specific anti-codon) for a particular amino acid; and 'wobble' base-pairing, i.e. permitting non-standard base-pairing at the 3rd anti-codon position. The record is from RNAcentral. RNAcentral also lists the same sequence under 2 other names. Lineage: Bacteria; Bacillati; Actinomycetota; Actinomycetes; Jatrophihabitantales; Jatrophihabitantaceae.
GGCCCCGUCGUCUAGCGGCCCAGGACGCCGCCCUCUCAAGGCGGUGGCGCCGGUUCGAAUCCGGUCGGGGCUACCA